AUGUUGGGGCAGUUAGAUGCAUCAAGAACAGAAAGAUUUUGACAUGCAUUAGCUAUCUCACGCAAUGUCUCAUCAGUAACACACGAGCAGGAUGACAUAUCUACUGACGCUAAUAGUGGACAGGCUGUCGCUGCUUGACGAAUUGCAGUGUCAGAAAGCUUAUGGCAGGACUGAAAAUCCAAUUCAAGCAACUGA
RNAcentral lists this ribosomal RNA (195 nucleotides) under Triticum aestivum (bread wheat). RNAcentral's name for it is "partial small subunit ribosomal RNA". Lineage: Eukaryota; Viridiplantae; Streptophyta; Magnoliopsida; Poales; Poaceae. The record is from RNAcentral.